ACUGGAUGUGGUGGCCCACACCUGUAAUCCCAGGGACUUGGGAGGUUGAGGCAGGAUGAUUGCAAGUUCAAGGCCAGCCUCUGUAAUGUAUUGAGACCUUGUCUCAA
Molecule: small RNA, 107 nt
Filed under: Marmota monax (woodchuck)
Lineage: Eukaryota; Metazoa; Chordata; Mammalia; Rodentia; Sciuridae
Source: RNAcentral